ACGACUGGGACCAUUCCACCUA
This 22-nucleotide microRNA is filed under the name Heligmosomoides polygyrus. RNAcentral describes it as "hpo-miR-10113-3p". Lineage: Eukaryota; Metazoa; Nematoda; Chromadorea; Rhabditida; Heligmosomidae. The record is from miRBase by way of RNAcentral.